RNAcentral lists this ribosomal RNA (451 nucleotides) under uncultured bacterium. RNAcentral describes it as "partial 16S ribosomal RNA". It matches the Rfam family "Bacterial small subunit ribosomal RNA", at positions 29 to 523 of the family's 1533-position model. The record is from RNAcentral.
AGCGAACGCUGGCGGCAGGCUUUACACAUGCAAGUCGAGCGAGCGUAGCAAUACGUCAGCGGCAGACGGGUGAGUAACGCGUGGGAACGUACCUUUUGGUUCGUAACAACACAGGGAAACUUGUGCUACUCCCGGACAAGCCCUUACGGGGAAAGAUUUAUCGCCGAAAGAUCGGCCCGCGUCUGAUUAGCUAGUUGGUAGGGUAAUGGCCUACCAAGGCGACGAUCAGUAGCUGGGCUGAGAGGAAGAUCAGCCACAUUGCGGCUGAGACACGGCCCAAACUCCUACGGGAGGCAGCAGUGGGGAAUAUUGGACAAUGGGGGCAACCCUGAUCCAGCCAUGCGGCGUGAGUGAUGAAGGCCCUAGGGUUGUAAAGCUCUUUUGUGCGGGAAGAUAAUGACGGUACCGCAAGAAUAAGCCCCGGCUAACUUCGUGCCAGCCGCCGCCGUAA